CUGUUAACUUCAGCAAAACUUGUUUUCAAUGUACUGUUUUCAAUGGUUCCGAUCGAGAGUUCCUAUCAAUUGUUCUAUGUGGGGCUUUAAUUAGUGGGACACCUACGUAAACUAUAUCGCUUCUCCUUUAAGCGUUCGCACUCAGGCGCAUGGUGUAUUGCAGACGGGGAAGCGGAGGAAUUAGAGAGUAACGUUAGGCCUUCUCGAAUGUCCCUAAUUUUGCCUCACUUCUCUGUUUAAGGUGAAUAAAUAACACUUAGUAUCAUCACUUCAGUCGUUGAGUGGUCGUGUUUCCAUGGUG
Carassius auratus (goldfish) is the source of this 301-nucleotide long non-coding RNA. RefSeq lists it as uncharacterized. The transcript has 3 exons. NCBI's taxonomy places the organism in Eukaryota, Metazoa, Chordata, Actinopteri, Cypriniformes, Cyprinidae. The record is from RefSeq and is a predicted model, not a curated record.